AACCAGCACCUCAAGUGGUCAGGAUGAUUAUUGGGCCUAAAGCGUAUGUAGGCGGCUAGAUAAGUCAGGCGUGCAAGCCCGUGGCUCAACCACGGAAUUGCGUUUGAAACUGUUUAGCUUGAGUACAGGAGAGGAAAGCGGAAUUCCCAGUGUAGCGGUGAAAUGCAUUGAUAUUGGGAAGAACACCGGUGGCGAAGGCGGCCUUCUGGUCUGAUACUGACGCUGAGAUACGAAAGCCAGGGGAGCGAACGGG
Molecule: ribosomal RNA, 253 nt
Filed under: uncultured bacterium
Lineage: Bacteria
Description: partial 16S ribosomal RNA
Rfam family: Bacterial small subunit ribosomal RNA (bases 27-253)
Source: RNAcentral